This 4927-nucleotide long non-coding RNA is filed under the name Oryza sativa (Asian cultivated rice). RNAcentral's name for it is "long non-coding RNA (OSAT_LNC001599)". The record is from RNAcentral. Lineage: Eukaryota; Viridiplantae; Streptophyta; Magnoliopsida; Poales; Poaceae.
UUCGAACCCGAAUAUCAAGCAGGAUGUGUAUUAAUUCCCUGUCCAGAACCAGCCAGGGUACAUAAACAAUAAUUUGAUACAGUUCCACGACUUACAAAAAUAACAAAAUAAAACUUAUACGCAGCGGAAAAACUAAAGAACUAGACUUAAUUUUCACGACCAAAGCGAAGUUUCCUCCAUAGACCACACAGGCAACCCUCGACGUCUAGAACAAGCUCAAUCCUCAGAGAACUCAUCAUCUGAACCGACUUCUGCUUCUGGGGGGGAGGAUUAAGCAAGACUGCGUACCAACCACCGUACUCAAGUCAUACCAACGGGAAGGUAUGAUGCAAGGAUAUUCAAAGGAAUGGCUCAAAGGCUAGUUUGCAGUAAAAGCAGCAUUUAUAAAUCAUAAUUUGAAAGAAGUAAAAAUAGUAUAAGUAAUUAAGCAAUAUUAACAUCAUCACUGUCCAACGAUAUAUCCACGUUGCAACAAGCCCAACCAAAACCACCUAAACUACACCAGUUCUAAAAGUCAAAUUAUUAAGUGGGACUAAUAACGGUGAGCUAGUUGAUCGCCCAAUAACCAUGGGCACAGCUAUUCGAAUAGUUUACUCUGAUCAGAGGUGUACAACUUUACUCACAAGACAUGAUUCCACACAUGUUACCAUGCCCCGAAGUACCACUGCGAUACUGCAAAGGGGAAAAUCAUGAUAAAACCCUUCAUAUAACUCUCCCUAACCGAACAUACCCACCUCAGGUUUCACCCCCUCCUUAUGCCAAGUCGGGCAGUCCGCUCUCGUGCCUAGGUAAAUCCGGCUAUAGCAAAGCCCAAAAUCCAGGUCCGAACUGCACCACCUCCUCUACCCUUGCCAUGGUAUGUUAUCUAGGUUAAGUUAUACUCUAGAUUCAGCCUGGAGUCCAUCUGGCAUGUGGUGAGUACGAGUAUAUAUUCUAGGGAUUCUCGAGAACCGAUCCUUAAUUGUCAUGGGCACGACUUCCAGAACUCAUGCGUGUACCCACGACCCACCAUUAAAGCAAAUUUUAGUUUAAUUAAACCAUAACCAUGGUGGUACAUCAAAAUAUAAUUAAGGACUGAAUUAAAAUGAAUUCCAUUGUGAGCUAGUUGGUCUAAACAUGGCUAAGCAUUCCUAAACCAAUCAUCUAGUCAAUUAUAACCCAAGUUAUCAAUGGCAUAAGAUAAUCAACAGGCUGAGAAUAAUAGGCAUACAUCCCACAUGACAUUCUAAAAGGAUGCAAUUUGAUAUAAAGCAGGGGAUUUUGUAAAAUAGGCUCAAUAUGAUCAAUGAUGUAUGUAUGACUUGCCUUGCUCUUGAGCUGACUGAACCUCGGCAAACACUUCGAAAUAAACAGGAGCGCCGGAAUUGAUGGAAUCUAAACGACAAACAAAGCACACAAGAAAUACAAGCAAUAAGGCUACUGAAACAGAAAAGAAACAAAUUUUAAUGGAUUCACUGCAAUUUGAAUGGACAAAAACGGAGCUCGGAUUAUUGAGUUAUGAAUUUUACAAGAUGAGUCGUGUUAUUACUAAUAACAAAAAAACCAUAGUCAAUUAUUACAUAUUAAUGCCCAAAUUAAAUAGAUCAAUGGAAUUAAACCUCCGGUAAGCAAGCCUCGUGAGUUAGCGACUCAACGAGUCAUCACAUCGUGUCACGGGACCAUCCAAAUGGUCAACCAAACCGGCGAAUGGAACCAGCGCUCAGAACGACAAUGGGAAAACUAGACAUGGUUUACGGCAGAGACUCGGCACGGCAAACGAUAGGUCGGUAAGAAUUUAGUGCUGCACCUACGGCUUUGCAACUCGGCUACCGAGCUACCACACAGCAACAAAUCACAACAACAGCGCGGGAAAGCGGCGGCGGCAGCGGCGGCUAAAGAUGCACGGUGGCAGCGGCUUGGCUCUGCUUGGGCUCAGCCGGUGGCAAGGCAGCGGUGGUGGCGUGGCACCGACGGCGGCGGCAGCUAGGCAGCGGCGGCGUCAACUCAACUAGAGCGGCGACUCGUCUAAACUAGGGUUAAGCUAAACAACUACACAACAAACUAAACAUAGGAGGUGAUGGAACGGAUUCCUCACCGAGAGAACAACGGCGACGGCGAGGGAAAUGGCAACGACGGCAACCCGGCGAGGAUGACGACGACGAUGCUAGAGGAAGCCUAAUUGGAGUAGAUUAAACGGAUGGGUUAGGGUUACAGCCAAAACUUCACCAACACAAUUGUAUGGAAGCUCACCGGCGACGCGAAGGCGAUGACGACGGUGGCAACAGGAGGCGGCGGCGUGGCAACAGGAGGCAGCGGCGCUAGGACUCCAACUAAAAGAAAAAAAAAGAAAAACAGGGGUAGGGUGGCUUAUAUAUGGGUGGAGGUAAAAGAGGUGGGGCUAGAGUGGAGUCAUCAGAGGGGAGGGGGAGUUGAACUCGGCUCGGCAGGGGAGAGGGCGCGCGCGCAGGGAGGUGGAGAGAGGGGGCGGCGGCUGAAUAGGAUAGGGAGAGGGGAGGAAAAAUAGGAAUAGGAGGUCAGGCAGAGGGCUUUCCUAAAAAGGAAAACAAAUGCGAUGCCAUUUUAGAAAAAGAACGGAAACGGUCCCGCGAACAAAAACGGACACGGUUCGCCAUGCAAAACGAAACCGCGGACAAAGAGGGGAGUGAAUCGGGCACGAUUCACGACCAAAGGCUGAAGAGAACAGAAUUAAUUACUACAAAUCUUGACAACUUAAUUAGCAACAUUAACUCCGAUGCUCUGUAAAUUCCGCUUUAAGUCCUGUUAAUGAUUUUAGGAGCAAAGAGAAUUCGAAAAAAAUUCUCCCUGACAAUUCCAAUUAUUAAAUACAUUGUUAAUUUAGGUUUUCUCCUGGUUAACCAAAAUAAUUUCUUUAGACGAAUUAUUGUUGAAUUGGAACCACGGGAAAGGGGAAAACUCCGGUUGUGACAACAAGUCUCUAAUCCAUCAUUAAACCAGAUUAUAAUGGCAUUCGCCAAGUCUAGGACAACAACAGAAAACAACUGGAUGUUUCUAACAGAGCAUUGCUAACUGUAAUUCUAAAAUUUCUAAGCACAUCAUAUGGAGUUCUCACUAGCUGGUUUUUGUUACCUAGGGUUAUCAAAGGUAAUUACAUAAUAUUUAGUAAAUAAAGCCAAAACAAGAAAAUAUAGGAAAGGCUAAGUAAGUAAAACAGUUAUAGUGCAGUAAGUUUAAUAAAGCGAAUGCGAUAAUUCAAAUUAAAAUACAUUUCGCAUAUUGUGGUGCAAUAUGCUUAAGGAGAACGUGACUUGCCUUGCUCAGAGAAAAAUGGUCUUCGGAGGCUUCAUAGACGAACUCAAAUUGCACCACAGGAACAUAUGAAACAACAACAACUACACCCAACAAAAGAAGGCUAAAUCUCUAGAAAGAAACAAAGAUAGUAAAAGAACAACAUACAUGGGUUGUUUAAGUUAUAACAAAAAUUAAGCAACUUAAACAACCAAUUUGGAGCUCAUAUGGCUGAGAAACGACCAUCCAAAAUUACACGCUAUUUAAGUGGAGAUUUUCAUGUUAUUUAAUUAGUAUUAUAUCAUUAAAUUAUGUGCAAUGCAACAACGCUCUAGGAGAGAAAGGAUCGUUCCACUGGCAAACGACCAUAUGAAAUUAUAUGUCAUUUAAGUGGAGAUUUUCAUGUUAUUUAAAUUGUAUUAUAUCAUUAUAUUAUAUGCAAUGAAACAACGCUCCAAGAGAGGAACGAUGGAGUUCCUACUGGCAGCUGAGACCCAUGGGUCAGACGACUAGCUUACCGUGGAUCGGGUUUACCGUGGCUCCGUCCCCAUCAGCUGCCGCUCAGGCCGAGCUCGUGCUUGUGCGAGAAGAGAGAGGGGAGAGAGAACGUGGGACCCACUAGAUGGACGGCCGGCUUGACGGGCUAGAGUUGGCCAGCGGGUACUCAGGUUUGGCUAGCCAGAUGGCUUAGCCAUUCAGUUGGAGAGACCGUUGGAGUAUGUUUUUUUUUUGUCAAAAUUGCUAAAAUUUAGCUUGGCCAGCCAUUUGUCUAUUCUAUUCGAGUUGCUCUAAGGGUGUGUUUAGUUCAUGCCAAAAUUGGAAGUUUGGUUGAAAUUGGAACGAUGUGAUAGAAAAGUUGGAAGUUCAUGUAUGUAGGAAAGUUUAGAUGUGAUGAAAAAGUUGGAAGUUUGAAGAAAAAGUUAGGAACUACUCCCUCCAUUCCAAAUUGAUCUACAUAUUAGGUACACUAAGACCAAUAAAAACUAAUAACUCUCUUAUAAAAUAUUUACUCUAGCAAAAACUCAACGCAUACACCAUUCUCACUAUUUCCUAGCCAAUAGCAAAUCAAGAUAUUGUAUAUGGGUUAUAAAUACUUGUGAUGCAUGCAUCAAUGUCCAUUUACUCUAAUGCACAAAUAACUAAUAGUCUUAAUGAAUGAACACAAAUAUUUAGAUCAUUUAGGAAUACCCUAAAAAAAACUAUAUGUAGAUCAAUUUGGAAUGGAGGGAGUAAUCAAGACCUAAAACAGUUAGUGGCGACGCCGAGCGAGGUGGUGGCAUGGUCCUGCAGCGCCCAGGGCGACGCCAGUAGGCGGCUGGAGGUGGUGCAGCGGCGGUGGCACUUGAGCAGCAGCGCACGGCGUGGAGAGGCACGGGCUGGAGGCAGAAGGAGAAGAAGGGAAGGAGGGGGCUCCAUUUAUAGGCCGGGAGGAGGGAGGGGAACGGCCGGGGAGCUCGUUGGCCGGCAAUCAAUGGCGGCAGUUCGCCGGAGAUUAAAUUCAGCGAAUAAAGGUCGAAAUGAAAGGGGAAAACAUGGGGGGAAUAAAGAAUAGGAGGUGGGGAACCGAUUUUUGCAAUCAAUGUGGAGGAGAAACGGCCGAGGAGGCGGAUCAACUCGGUGGCGGCUCUAGGGUUACGCGGCCGGGAAGAGGAGCGGUCGGCAGCUGGAGGAAGACGACGAC